AUUGAACGCUGGCGGCAUGCCUUACACAUGCAAGUCGAACGGCAGCACGGGAGCAAUCCUGGUGGCGAGUGGCGAACGGGUGAGUAAUGUAUCGGAACGUACCAUUGAGUGGGGGAUAACGUAGCGAAAGUUACGCUAAUACCGCAUAUACCCUGAGGGGGAAAGCAGGGGAUCGCAAGACCUUGUGCUCUUUGAGCGGCCGAUAUCAGAUUAGCUAGUUGGUGAGGUAAAGGCUCACCAAGGCGACGAUCUGUAGCGGGUCUGAGAGGAUGAUCCGCCACACUGGAACUGAGACACGGUCCAGACUGCUACGGGAGGCAGCAGUGGGGAAUUUUGGACAAUGGGGGCAACCCUGAUCCAGCCAUGCCGCGUGAGUGAAGAAGGCCUUCGGGUUGUAAAGCUCUUUCGGCCGGGAGGAAAUCGCAUCAGCUAAUACCUGGUGUGGAUGACAGUACCGGAAUAAGAAGCACCGGCUAACUACGUGCCAGCCGCCGCGGUAA
Molecule: ribosomal RNA, 500 nt
Filed under: uncultured bacterium
Lineage: Bacteria
Description: partial 16S ribosomal RNA
Rfam family: Bacterial small subunit ribosomal RNA
Source: RNAcentral